CCUACGGGUGGCAGCAGUAGGGAAUCUUCCACAAUGGGCGAAAGCCUGAUGGAGCAACGCCGCGUGGGUGAAGAAGGUCUUCGGAUCGUAAAACUCUGUUGUUAGAGAAGAAAGUGCGUGAGAGUAACUGUUCACGUUUCGACGGUAUCUAACCAGAAAGCCACGGCUAACUACGUGCCAGCAGCCGCGGUAAUACGUAGGUGGCAAGCGUUAUCCGGAUUUAUUGGGCGUAAAGGGAACGCAGGCGGUCUUUUAAGUCUGAUGUGAAAGCCUUCGGCUUAACCGGAGUAGUGCAUUGGAAACUGGGAGACUUGAGUGCAGAAGAGGAGAGUGGAACUCCAUGUGUAGCGGUGAAAUGCGUAGAUAUAUGGAAGAACACCAGUGACGAAAGCGGCUCUCUGGUCUGUAACUGACGCUGAGGUUCGAAAGCGUGGGUAGCAAACAGGAUUAGAUACCCUAGUAGUC
This 465-nucleotide ribosomal RNA is filed under the name uncultured bacterium. RNAcentral describes it as "partial 16S ribosomal RNA". It matches the Rfam family "Bacterial small subunit ribosomal RNA", at positions 338 to 795 of the family's 1533-position model. The record is from RNAcentral.